This 1158-nucleotide long non-coding RNA is filed under the name Heterocephalus glaber (naked mole-rat). Its description in RNAcentral is "lncRNA (ENSHGLG00000028922.2)". Lineage: Eukaryota; Metazoa; Chordata; Mammalia; Rodentia; Bathyergidae. The record is from RNAcentral.
CUUUGAUCCAGGUCUUUCUACUAAGCCUCUCUGUGUAGUCUGAGUGUUGGUGCUUCCUGCCCCCCCUUGUUACGCUGACUUCCUUCCCCCAGUGAAGGUGACGUGUCAGGAGGUGAGGCUGCUGGGAGGUGGUGCGUGCCCUCUGAAGUGGGUUAGAGCCUCCUGUGAGACCCUGGAGAAAAGGUGCCAUCUAGGAGAAGGGUCCCUAACCUGACACUGUCUCCAAGAGCCUGGAUCCUGGACUCCCAGCCUCCAAAGCUCCGAGGAGUGAGACCCUGCUGACUGGAGGGACAAGAAUAGAAGCAGAGGAGACACCAUGGUGGCCUUAAGCAGGUGUUGGCAGUGGUCACAGCAAGGAUGGCAAGAAGUGUUCAGACCUGAAAUAUACUUUGGAGACAGAGGCUAGAGGCCUGGAGGCACAGCUGUACUCAGUGGAGCAAGACUGUUCAUCCUUCCAGGAGGUCACCUGAAGCUCAGCCAGGAUGGCAUGCUCUGCCCUGCAAACUCCGCAGAAGGAGCCCAUCUCUGGCCCCGCUCCUGUGACUAUGAGGAGUCUCCGCUGCCAGGCUUCCACCCUAAAAAGCAGCAUUGAUGACACAGACACCGGGGACCCUGGAACCAGGAGGGCAGAGGCUGCUGAGCCAACUGUGUCACUGGGGCCCUGAAUGUGUGGGGUUGAGCUUGACAGGCCAGGUCCCCACGCACGUAAUGAGAUGGUAGGAGAGCUGAGGAGUGGCGCACCCCCUCCCAGCAGGGAAGACACAGCCUGAACCCCGAGAUGCAGACAGGGAGGGGCCGCCUAGGGGAGGCCACGGCCCAGUGGGUUUCCUGCGAUGGUGCCCUUCUCCUGUCCUUCAUUCAGACUGCACACGUUAUCUUACUGUAAUAAAUACAUCCUGUCUGGCAACACAACCUGGAUUACCUACUGAAGAAGCCAAUGAAAAAUGGCCAGGAUCUUUCUAGGGUUUCCCCUUCUGCAUAGCACAAGAUUCAUCAGCCCCUCUCACGACUGUGUGGCCAAAGGCAAGUCCGACUGCACUGGUGUGAACCCUGCAGGCCAGGUGCCCGUGGGGACACGAGAGAAGCAGUGCCCAGGGGUGUGGGCAGGAGCCACCAAGCACAGUGCUCUGGGGAUGGGCGCACACAGGGAGAAGACAC